GAUGAACGCCGGCGGCGUGCCUAACACAUGCAAGUCGAGCGCGGUCCCUUUGGUGCUUGCACCAAAGACGACUGAGCGGCGGACGGGUGAGUAACGCGUGGGUAACCUGCCCUGUACAUAUGGAUAACAUGCUGAAAAGCAUACUAAUACAUAAUAACGUACAUUGAAGGCAUCUUCGAUGUAUCAAAGCGUUAGCGGUACAGGAUGGACCCGCGUCUGAUUAGCUAGUUGGUGGGGUAAAAGCCUACCAAGGCAACGAUGGGUAGGGGAACUGAGAGGUUUAUCCCCCACAUUGGUACUGAGACACGGACCAA
This 314-nucleotide ribosomal RNA is filed under the name uncultured bacterium. Its description in RNAcentral is "bacterial SSU rRNA". It matches the Rfam family "Bacterial small subunit ribosomal RNA", at positions 28 to 334 of the family's 1533-position model. The record is from RNAcentral.